Molecule: long non-coding RNA, 10408 nt
Organism: Hypanus sabinus (Atlantic stingray)
Lineage: Eukaryota; Metazoa; Chordata; Chondrichthyes; Myliobatiformes; Dasyatidae
Exons: 2
Source: RefSeq, a predicted model, not a curated record
UACAAGGCACAGCUCAGCAGCAGUGAGCUGAAGCUGGGAAGUGAGGGUGACCUUGCCUUUGAAGGAGCAGGUUUGCAUUUUAAGUUUUACAAGGUCAUAGGUUUCAGUGAAUAUUAACACGUGGAACUGUUGCCUGUGUCGACACUCCUGCUCCAUGAACCGUAGUUAAGAGUGUGGUCCCUGUAAGCUAUGGGUGGCAGAGUGCUAGAUGAUGAUUUUGUCCAGACUACAAGCCAAGUCUUCCCCAUUGGGUGCCUGGGAAAUUUCAGAUGAAGUUCUCUGCCAUUCUUUGUGGAUUGAUUGUCACACCUCUAUGUGUCUUUGCAUACUGGCCAAGCUUGCCUCAGUGCCCUUCAGUGUGGUGAACAUAUCCCAGCUUGUGGAGUGUGACAAUGUUGCGCUUUGAGAAUUACCUGUGGUUUCACUGAUGACACCAUCGUUGUUGACAGAAUCACAGACAGUGGCAAGGAGGCCAACAGGAGUGAGAUAGAUCAACUGGCAGAGUCGUUCUGCAAUAACAUCCUUGCACUUAACAUUAGCAAGGGAAUGAUUGUGAUCUUCAGGAAGGGGAGUCGGGUGAACAAGCACCAGUCUGCAUAGAAGGUGAUAGAAAGGGUGAGCAGCUUCAAGUUCCUGCUAUCAACAUCUCAAAGGAGCUAUAUUGAGCCCAGCACAUAAAUGCAACCAUGAAGAAGGCAUCUCUACUUUCUUCAAAGUUUAAAGAGAUUUGGCAUGUCUUUGAAGACUCUGAUAAAUUUCUAUGGUGGACAGCAUUUUGACUAGUUGCCUGAUGGUCUGGUAUGUAAAAUGCAUUGCACAGGAGCUCAGGAGGCUAUGGAUAGUGGUGGAAUCAGCCAGUUCCAUUGUGAGUAUAGCUCUCUUAGUGAUUGAGGACAUCUACAAGAGGCGAUGCCAUAAGAAGGCAAAAUCCAUCAUUAAGGGGCCCCCUCCUACUGGGCUAUACCUUCCUCUCAAUACUUCUAUCAGGUAGGAUGUAUAAGAACCUGAAGAUUUGGAUCUCAAGGUUUAACAACAAUUUCUUCACCACUGCCAUUAGUUUCUUAAACUGACCUGAAAAAUGCUAAUUCAACCUCAUAUUCCCACCUACUUGCACUAAUGUUAUUAAAUAUUUGCUUAUGGUAGUGUAUAUAUAAUUUAUGCUAAUUUAGAUUUAUGUAAUUUAUGUUUGUCAUGUUUGUAAUGUACAGUACUGUCACUGUAAAAAGCUAAUUUCCAUGGCGCAUGAGAAUAGUAUGCUCAAGAGUAAACUUGAAGUCAAAAUCCUCUAAUACCCGAUCACAAUCCAAGUGCAAAAUUGACAGCAUCAAUCUAGUUAGUAAUCAUUAAUCACCACUCCCAAUCACACUUCCAAUUAACCCCCCUCCCCUUGCACACCCACUGUUCCUAAAUCAUUCCCCCAUGCUCAAUGUACCCACAACCCAAGACACAGACUACUUAUUUUCUCAGAUUUUGUAAGAGAACUUCAAACUCUUUAAAUGUUUUAAAUCUGAGUGCACGUAGCAGCGUGAGCUUCAUAUGCAAAGAAACCAUACAGUAACUGUCUCUCAAAGAACCAUUUGUUGUCCUGGUAUAUACCAGAUGUUUAACAUGCCUUUGCAAGCACCAAUAAUUUUCCAAGCCAAUAUUAUUUAUUGAUGUUGGAGCAGAGAUAUUAGCUUUCAUAUUCCCCUCUUCAAAUAUUGUCACUGAAUUUUAUUCAUUUUCCUGAAUGCAUUAACAUUCAAUGUAAAGGACAGCAGCUUAGAAAUUUGUUCCCUACUUUUUAUUUGCAAUAAAAAAGACAAUGUCAUUGCUCUUAGAAUUCUUACAAAACUUGCAAACUUCAACUCAGGAGAGUCUUGUGGGGUUCCAUGCUGAUUCACUUUUGGCAUUUAUUUACCUGUUGCAAGAUCAUUCACCGAACUGCAUUUAGACUCAUAGUUGUGAGUUUGGUAGCUGCACAAAUCAUUUUUCAGCCACUAGGCAAUGGUGAUGUUUCAAGAAUAUAUGCUGUAAUGAUUGAUAUUUGGUUUACUGUCACAUGUACUGAAGUACAGAGGAAACCUUUUUAUUAAUGCCAUCUAUACAUAGUACAUACGAGAUGAUACAGAAGGAAGAAAAAAUAAACAGAAUGCAGAAUAUAAUGUUACAGUUAUAGAGAAAGCUCAGUGUGGGUAGAAAAAGUCUAGAUGGUGAGCGACCUGGAUGGGUGAUGAAGGUCAAAGCCAAAGAUUGGAGUCCAAAGGUCAAUUCAAACUCGAGAAGUCAAAGUGCAGCCUGGAGAUUGGAGGUGGGAGGCCUGUUCUCAAGUUGGAGAAAUGUCCUUGUGUGUGCGUAGAUGGGUGGUAGGGAGUAUGGGAGGGAAGAAAGGGGUGUGAUUUGCUGUUGUUGUUUCCUUCCUUGUUGUAUUUUGUUUUGCUGUGUUCUGCCAAGCAUGUGGGCAUGCAAUAUUGAUCUGGAAUGAGUGGUGACACUUAUGGGCUUCCUACAGCAAAUCCCUAAGUUCUGUAGAUUAUUAAUGCCAAAGAUGAAUUUUACUGUAUGUUUAAAUGUUUUUUUUUUCUUUUUAAGCCAUCUCGCCUACUGGAGCAUAGGCCACUGACCGCAGCUCAUCAGAGUCCUCUGUCCUGGUCUAGAACUUUCAGAUUCCUCAGGUGUAGCCCAUCUUCAACGUUCAUCCCUCUCCCAGGGAUGAGAUCUUUGGAGCUUCUGCUGGCUCUGCAUUCAUAGAGGGAUUAGGAUGGGAAGUUGCAGAAUAGAACUCAAAUGAGAACUGAGAAACAUCCCGGACAUCAGCCAGACAACACCUGUAUAUCGUUCUAUGAGGAGUCAAUAAAUUCCUGAACUAUGGGGAAUUCUACAAUAGUAGCAAAUUCCGGUUGUGCCCCAUUAUCUCCCUCCAUUGACAGAAAAACCAUUUUCAUUCCUAGAAUAUAGUACCUGAGUGUCCACCCUAAUAAAGCGACGAGCAGUGAACUGCAGGAUGUGCCAGAGAUCAGCAUCAUUCAGAUCUGAUCCUGAGGUCAGGAAAGUGUCACCUUGCCAUGCAAGGCCAAGAUAGUCAAUGCACAUGUGAGCAUGUACUUCAGAUCUCUGAUAUUAAAUGGAGAGAAGUCCAGCUCUGAUGUGUAUUUCUAUAAUCUCUAGGCAAGGUGUUAGAUGAUGCUUCCCUACUCUGGCUUCCGGCACCUGAUGAUCAUGACUGCCUAUAACAAUUCUAGUGUCUAUGACCUAUCUCCAUGUUAACCAAUAAAAUAAUUCAGAUAAAACUCAAUGGUUUAAAGUGCAGAAAAGUAAUUGAAGAUAUAAGGAAGGUGCUAUAUGAAGUGUGAAAUUUAUGUAGAACACACACAGUGCCCCUUUUGAGUGUUGUUGAGUGCAAAAAACACACAGGUUGAAUUUUGUCCCUUGUAGUUCAGGGGAAAGGCUAUUGGUAAAAUCUUAUCAACACAAACAAAAUACUGGAGGAACUCAGCAGGCCUGGCAGCAUUUAUGGAAAAGAGUCAACCUUAAAAUCUUGUUCAACUAGCAAAUUAGAUCUAUGGUUGUUUGGACAGGUGAGGUGGAAUAUCAUUUUUGAGGUGACUAUCAGGAUUGCUUCGUUGGUGACAUCAUAUGGAAGAGUCUUAUGUUACUAUUGUAGGAUUCCCCAAAAUUUGGGAAUUUGAGUUCUAUCAUCCAACUGUUCUUCCUGAUCCCUCUGAGUCCUUGGGAACAAAUAAUUCAGAUUCAGAUUUGCAUUGCUUUAUCAUACCUCAAUCAAAACAUGGAGUAAAUUGCAUUGUUGUAUUUCAGCUUAGUGCCCUCCUUGAGGUAAGAGGCUCAGAACUGAGAACUAUUUUGCCUUACUCCAGAAUAAGUCUACUUUCAACUGCACAGAACUGUUUAGCAUUGUGAGAAAGAAUUUUUAGGGCAGCAUCUUUAAUGGCAUAUGACUCAUGAUUACAUUGAAAUGUUAGUCCUGAUUUUAUGCAGAAAUCUCUGGUUGGGUAUGAAGCCAUGAUUUGUGAUUCACAACUGUCACCUAAAGCAGGCACAAAUGAAGUCAAAAGCUUUGGUGUUCAGAACAUGAAGCUUCAUGAACUUUAACAGCAAGUACAUUGAAAGAUCAACAUAUUUUUGCAAAGUUAAAGUGUACAUUAGUCACUCCUACUGAGGUACAUUCUAUACAUAGCAACAUACAAGAUGCUGGAGGAACUCAGGGGUUCAGGCAGCACCUAAGGAGCAAAUUGAACAGUUAUCACUUUGCAUAUAUCUUUACUCUUGUUUCUACAUUUUAUGCAUGCUCUCCAUCACCAGCAAAGCAGAUGCAAUAAACAGAUCCUAAAAAUCCCAGUCUGAGCAGAUCCUCAGGCGCCUAGAAUAAUUUCAUAGGCAAUUUUUAAAGUGGCCUGUCACUGAGAGUAGAGUUGAGGUAGGGGAAAAUUUGUGGCAAUUAUUUUUACCUUACAUCCAAUCCAUGUUUCAAUUGAUCAGUACUAGGUCUUUAAAUUAUCCUGAUUUUCCAAUCGACUAUAUGAUCAGCACACAAAUGGAAAAAUUCAAUAAAUAAAACCAAUAUUGUCCAUCUUAUUUCUUCCCAUGCAAAGCUUUCAAAAUUUUCACACAAGUAUGAUGAUCAAUUUAUCUCUCUUUUAAGAGGUACGUGUAAUAUGAAAACAUAGAAAGCCUACAGCAAAAUACAGGCCCUUCAGCCCAUGAUGCUGUGCUGAACAUGUCCUUUCUUUAGAAAUGACCCAGGGCUACCCAUAGUCCUCUCUUUUUCUCAGCUCCAUGUACCUAUCCAGGAGACUCUUGAAAGACCCCAUCGUAUGUGCCUCCCCCACCAUCGCCGGCAGACCAUUUCACGCACUCAGCACUCUCUGCGUAAAAAAAUUACCCCUGACAUCUCCUCUCUACCUGCUUCCAAGCACCUUAAAACUGUGCCCUCUCAUGUCAGCUGUUUCAACCCUGGGAAAAAGCCUCUGACUAUCCACAGGAUCAAAGCCUCUCAUUAUCUUAUACACUUCUAUCAGGUCACCUCUCAUCCUCCAUCACUUCAAGGAGAAAAGGACAAAUUCACUCAACCUAUUCUCACAGGGCAUGCUCCCCAAUUCAGGCAACAUCCUUGUAAAUCUCCUCUGCACCCUUUCUAUAGUUUCCACUUCCUUCCUGUAUAGUGAAGUGACCAGAUCUCAGCACAGUACUCCAAGUGGGGUCUGACCAGGGUCCCAUAUAGCUGUAACAUUAUGUCUCAGCUCUUAAAUACAAUCCCACAGCUGAUGAAGGCCAAUGCACCAUAUGCCUUCUUAACCACACAGUUAAGCCGCGCAGCAGAUUUGAGUGUCCUAUAGACUUGGACCCUAAGAUCCCUCUGAUCUUCCACACUGCGAAGAGUCCUAACUUUAAUACCAUACUUUGCGAUCAUACUUGACCUAUUAAAAUGAACCACUCACACUUAUCUGGGUUGAACUCCAUCUGCCACUUCUCAGCUCAGUUUUGCACCCUAUCGAUGUCCCACUGUAGCCUCUGACAGCCCUCCACAAUAUCCACAACACCUCCAACCUUUGUGUCAUCAGCAAAUUUACUAACUAAUCCCUUCACUUCCUCAUCCAGGUCAUUUAUAAAGAGCACGAAGAGAAGGGAACCCAGAACAGAUCCCUGAUUGUGGUAGUGGGAGAUUUUAAUCUCCCAAAUAUUGAUUGAUAGCUCCCUAGAACAAGAGAUUUAGAUGGGGUGGAAUUUGUUAGGUGUGUUCAGGAAAGUUUCCUGACACAGUAUGUAGAUAAGCCUACAAGAGGAGAGGCUGUACUUGAUCUGGGAUUGGGAAAUGAACCUGGUCAGGUGUCAGAUCUCUCAGUGGGAGAGCAUUUUGGAGAUAGUGAUCAUAAUUCUAUUUCCUUUACCAUAGCAUUGGAGAGGGAUAAGAACAGACAAGUUAGGAAAGUGUUUAAUUGGAGUAAGGGGAAAUAUGAAGAUAUCAGGCAGGAACUUGGAAGCAUAAACUGGGAACAGAUGUUCUCAGGGAAAUGUAUGGCAGAAAUGUGGCAAAUGUUCAGGGGAUACUUGUGUGACAUUCUGCAUGAGUACUUUACAAUGAGGCAGACAAAGAGUGGUAGUGUACAGGAACCAUGGUGUACAAAGGCUGUUGAAAAUCUAGUCAAGAAGAAAAGAAAAGCUUACAAAAGUUUCAAAAAAUUUAGGUAAAUAUUAGAGAUCUAGAAGAUUAUAAGACUAACAGGAAGGAGCAUAAGGAUGAAAUUAGGAGAGCCAGAACGGGCCAUGAGAACACGUUGAUGAACAGGAUUAAGGAAAACCCCAAGGCAUUCUACAAGUAUGUGUUGAGCAAAUGAAUAAGAUAUGACAGAAUAGGACCAAUCAAAUGUGACAGUAGAAAAGUGUGUAUGGAACCAGAGGAGAUAGCAGAGGUACUUAAUAAAUAUUUUGCUUCAGUAUUCACCACGGAAAAGGACCUUGGCAAUUGUAGGGAUGAAUUACAGAGGACUAAAGUGCUUGAGCAUAUGGACAUUAAGAAAGAGGAUGGGUUGGAGCCUUUGGAAAGCAUCAAGUUGGAUAAGUCACCAGGACCGGAUGAGAUGUGCCUCAGGAACACUGUGGGAGGCAAGGGAGGAGAUUGCUGAUCUUCUGGUGAUGAUCUUUGCAUUAUCAAUGGGAACAGGAGAGUUUCCAAAGGAUUGGAGGGUUGCAGAUGUUGUUCCUUAUUCAAGACAGGGAGUAGAGAUAGCCAAGGAAAUUAUAGAACUGUGAUUUUUACUUCAGUGGUUGGUAAGUUGAUGGAGAUGAUCCUGAGAGGCAGAAUUUAUGAACAUUUGGAGAAGUAUAAUAUGAUUAGGAAUAGUCAGCAUGGCUUUGUGAAAGGCAGGUCAUGCCUUACAAGCCUGAUUUAAUUUUUUGAGGAUGAGACUAAACACAUUGAUGAAGGUAGAGCAGUAGAUGUUGUGCAUAUGGAUUUCAGCAAGGCAUUUGAUAACGUACCCCAUUCAAGGCUUAUUGAGAAAGUAAGGAGGCAUGGGAUCCAAAGGGACCUUGCUUUGUGGAUGAAAAAUUGGUUAGUCCACAGAAGGCAAAAAGUGGUUGUAGAUGGGUCGUAUUCUGCAUGGAUGUCGAAGACCAGUGGUGUGCCUCAGGGAUUUGUUCUGGGACCCCUAUUCUUUGUGAUUUUUAUAAAUGACCUGGAUAAAGAAAUAGAGGGAUUGGUUAGUAAAAUUGUCAGAGAAAUGUGUACAAUAUACAUCCUGAAAUUCUUUUUCUUCGCAAUCAUCCACGGAAACAGAGGAGUGCCCCAAGGAAUAAAUGACAGUUGAAUAUUAGAACCCCCAAGGCCUCCCAGCUCCCCCACCCAUGCACAAGCAGCAGCAAGGCAAUGAUCCCCCCCCAUCCCACCAGCAAAAAAGCAUGGGUGCCCCCCACCAAGCACUCAAACACGCAGCAAAGCAUCAAUAAAGACACAGACUGGCAGUACCCCAGAUACUACUCGUUCACCCGGUAUUCAACGUACCACAGGCUCUCUCUCUUUCUCUCUCUCUCUCUCUCUCUCUCUCUCUCUCUCUCUCUCUCCCUCCCUCCCUCCCUCUCCCUCUCCCUCUCCCUCUCCCUCGCUCUCUCUCCCCCUAAUAAGGGAAUCUAAUCUUAGAUGGAAGAAAAUAGAUAAUGAAAGGCAUUUGAAGUAUCUUCAAAGCUUUUGUUUCUCUGAUUUGUUGAAAGACCCAAACCUCCAAUUUUAAACAGGUUAUUAAAACAGAUAUUGUAAAACAACUGUUAGCUGUUAAAUGGUAUCACUCAGGUGUUUUAAAUGCUUAGAGAUUGUACAAUGAAGGGGAAAACUAAAAGAAGGUGUCAGCAAAAAUUUAACUGUUUAUAUCUUGGGUUAUGAAACAAAAGCUUUUAUAUAUACAAUUAUGCUAUGACAGCUAUGAAAUAAUGGAAGGCUUGUAUUCAGAAAGUGUCUUUCUCAUUCCUAAAGAAGUCACAAUUUACUUAUUAACCCUAAUUACAAAUGAAGUACAAUAAUUCUUUUGAAGGCAAAUAUGGAUGUUAGUUUUUACAUCCAACGUCUACAGAGAGCUGUAAGUAAUGAUAAGGUAGUUUGCAACGUGAAUGUUGGAGGACAUGGUGAGAACAUCCCACACUCUUGUUAAAAGUGACCGCAAACUCUUUAAUAUUUGCUCCAACUGAACUUAAUUGAGCACUGGAUCGACAAGCAUAUCAUCUUAAUAUCAUAACAUAUUCUCAAAAUGCUCAUUCUCACAAGACAGUCAAGCACAGAGUAUUUUACCUUCUAAAGGGGAACCUUAUCAUUAGACCAGUCUGAUGGUUGCUAGUCAACCACCACCUUCCAGUAAUAUGACAACAUAGUCAAUCACAGUGAUCCCUCUGGGUCCAAAUGAAGGUGAAAUUGCUCAUCUUUUACCUCCUUUCAACUCUGGAUAUUAAGAAUAUCUCUCUCUUCUUCGGUCAUUCAUCGAAAUCCAAUAACAACGUCCACUUCUUUAACAGUGAGAUCUUUGAUGACUAUACAGUCCUAUCCUGGACCCACAAGUUCUGUUGCAGGUGGAACACGCAUAUGUGGUAGUGGUGGUAGUGAUGGCAACAAUGGCUGCAUUUCUCCUGGCUCUCUUCUUCUGUCUUCUGGUUGUUCUUUCCAUCUCCAGAAAUCAAACCCUGUCCUGACAGAGCUGUCGCCAAGUGAUACGGUCAGCAGCAACCCCCUCCAGUUCCUCGGGUCUGAUCUCGCACUUCCUUAAAGCAUUCUUCAUCUGAUCCUUAUAGCGUUUCUUCUGCCCUCCAGCUGAGGGUUGACCAUGAUGUAGCUGGCCAUUUAAGAUUCUGCGGGGUAGCCGACAUGGGGGCAUCCUCAAGAGUAUCAAGUACUGCAGGUUUACCCCACUAGUGAGUGGUUCGAUAACAGUGGAACUGGACGUUGUGUACCAUGUUACUGUCUACUACUCUGCAUCAGAGAUGGUGCACAGUCCACCUAGUGGUGCAGAUGACUGUCUUGGGCAUUUUUCUUGUGAUUACAGGACCCUGGUGAACAUUGAUAAUGUGAAAUACUGCAAGUCCGAUUCACUGGUUCGUUGGCAUGACCAAUGGCCAGGAAGAUGAGUAGACUCAGUCGCAAUGUGGACCAGUCCCUCAUGCUGAGGCUUUGCCUCUUGCAACUACUCGGGGGGCAGAGUGGGGAGAUGCUGAAGGCAAUGUGAGACAGAACAGAGGGACUGGAGUCCCUGCAGUGUUGGCGACUGGCCUCUGAGAUGAGUUAAUAAAUUCAAACUUUCUGCAUAAUCACUCAAAGAAUUUAACUGCAUGUGCAUGUAAGGAGAGCUGUAUAAUUCAUCUCCUUCUACCUUAGGCCAUGAACCUAUCAAUCACCCCUGCUGUAGACCACUUCUGGAGGUCCAAGAUGUCAACUUCUACAAAGAAGAGAUCUGUAUGCUCCAUGACCGCUGGACUAAAUGUGUAAAUGUAGGAGGGGACUAUGUUGAAAAAUAAAUGUGCUAGGUUUUCUAAAAUUGACUCCUUCUACCUUAGGCCAUGAACUUAUCAAUUACCCCUCGUAUAUAUAUUUUUAGUGACUGCAUGUGCUUCUACUGUUGUAAUUGUAUGUGCUUUAUGUGCUUUGUGCUGUGUGUGACAGUUGGUACUGUGUUUUGCACUUUGACCCCAGAGGAACACUGUUUCCUUUGGCUGUAUUCAUAAAUAUGACUGAAUGACAAUUAAACUUAACUUGAGUUGUCGGAUGCUGAUGGUUUUGCAACCUAGAGGUUCAGAAGUCAAAAAUGAAACAUAAAACUUAUUGUGUACAUCCUUUUUAUUAAGUGUUAUAAGAACAAGGAAUGAAAAAAGAAAAGCGGAGAACAUAGAUGUUGUAUUCAUCUCAAAACCUAACUCAGACUGAAAAGAUAACGCCCCAGUGAUUAAAAAAAAUCUAUUAAAUAAGCAGCCUCAAGUGUCCUGACACCUGCUGCAGAAAAACUGAGAACCUUCUAGAAAAGUACAGAAGAAGCUAUGGUACAAUUACUGAACUAUUCACUGUCUAUUUACUGGGAAAACACAGCAGAAGCCCAGAUGCAAGUUAGUGUCAUGAAUGCCCAUGAUUUCUAUGUGGGUGGGUGCUAGUCAUUUGUUCCUGAAGAAGAUAAUGUUUGUUGGAAAGAGUUAGAUUCAAUGACUGUAUUGAAGACUUUUAUGGCCAAAGAAAGAAGGCUAAAGUCUCCCUCAUAUUUCACAGACCAUCUGGGGUCAACAAUCUGCUACUCUUCUCAGUUCUCUGUUUUCUGCUUCUCUUUUCGGAGAGCAAGGAUUAAUUCCUGUGCUUAUGGUGUGUUGUAUUUUUAACUGAUUUGUACUGAACAUUCUGCUUCUGUUGCCCUGACCUGAUAUCCUGGGGUGUAAUAAAUGGAGAACAAGA